GAGCGUGUGGCCUCAUGGACAAGGCGUCUGACUUCGGAUCAGAAGAUUGAGAGUUGGAGUCCCUUCGUCGUUG
RNAcentral lists this transfer RNA (73 nucleotides) under Xiphophorus maculatus (southern platyfish). It matches the Rfam family "tRNA". From Rfam's summary of the family: Transfer RNA (tRNA) molecules are approximately 80 nucleotides in length. Their secondary structure includes four short double-helical elements and three loops (D, anti-codon, and T loops). Lineage: Eukaryota; Metazoa; Chordata; Actinopteri; Cyprinodontiformes; Poeciliidae. The record is from Rfam by way of RNAcentral.